Enterobacter cloacae S611 is the source of this 66-nucleotide non-coding RNA. Lineage: Bacteria; Pseudomonadati; Pseudomonadota; Gammaproteobacteria; Enterobacterales; Enterobacteriaceae. The record is from Rfam.
UUCAGUACGACAUUGCUCACAUUGCUUCCAGUAUUUUUUGCCCGCUCUCUGUAGCGGGCUUUUUUU